AGUGAACGCUGGCGGUAGGCCUAACACAUGCAAGUCGAACGGCAGCACAGUAAGAGCUUGCUCUUACGGGUGGCGAGUGGCGGACGGGUGAGGAAUACAUCGGAAUCUACUUUUUCGUGGGGGAUAACGUAGGGAAACUUACGCUAAUACCGCAUACGACCUACGGGUGAAAGCAGGGGAUCUUCGGACCUUGCGCGAUUGAAUGAGCCGAUGUCGGAUUAGCUAGUUGGCGGGGUAAAGGCCCACCAAGGCGACGAUCCGUAGCUGGUCUGAGAGGAUGAUCAGCCACACUGGAACUGAGACACGGUCCAGACUCCUACGGGAGGCAGCAGUGGGGAAUAGUGGACAAUGGGCGGAAGCCUGAUCCAGCCAUACCGCGUGGGUGAAGAAGGCCUUCGGGUUGUAAAGCCCUUUUGUUGGGAAAGAAAAGCAGCAGGUUAAUACCCCGCUGUUCUGACGGUACCCAAAGAAUAAGCACCGGCUAACUUCGUG
RNAcentral lists this ribosomal RNA (492 nucleotides) under uncultured bacterium. Its description in RNAcentral is "partial 16S ribosomal RNA". It matches the Rfam family "Bacterial small subunit ribosomal RNA", at positions 29 to 507 of the family's 1533-position model. The record is from RNAcentral.